UACAGAGGUGGCAAGCGUUGUUCGGAAUUACUGGGCGUAAAGGGCGCGUAGGCGGCCUUCUAAGUCGGACGUGAAAUCCCCAGGCUUAACUUGGGAACUGCGUCCGAUACUGGAGGGCUUGAGUGCGGGAGAGGGAUGUGGAAUUCCAGGUGUAGCGGUGAAAUGCGUAGAUAUCUGGAGGAACACCGGUGGUGAAGGCGGCAUCCUGGACCGACACUGACGCUGAUGCGCGAAAGCCAGGGGAGCAAACGGG
Molecule: ribosomal RNA, 253 nt
Filed under: uncultured bacterium
Lineage: Bacteria
Description: partial 16S ribosomal RNA
Rfam family: Bacterial small subunit ribosomal RNA
Source: RNAcentral